Raphanus sativus (radish) is the source of this 721-nucleotide long non-coding RNA. RefSeq lists it as uncharacterized. The transcript is spliced from 5 exons. NCBI's taxonomy places the organism in Eukaryota, Viridiplantae, Streptophyta, Magnoliopsida, Brassicales, Brassicaceae. The record is from RefSeq and is a predicted model, not a curated record.
GUAUGCAAUUACAGUGUUCCAAGCUGAGGUUUGAGUUCCAAGCUGAGGUUUCUCGGCUUAUGGACAUUAUCAUCAACUCUCUCUACAGUAACAAGGACAUUUUCUUGAGAGAGUUGAUCUCCAAUGCUUCUGAUAUUUUCAAGCUUUGGAUAAGAUUAGGUUACUUGCACUCACUGAUAAAGACGUUUUGGGUGAGGGUGACACUGCUAAGCUUGAGAUCCAGAUUAGGCUAGACAAAGCCAAGAAAAUACUUUCUAUUCGGGACAGGGGAAUUGGGAUGACUAAGGAAGAUCUAAUUAAAGAAUCUUAGGGAUGAAGCUGGCGAGUACCUAGAGGAGAGUAAACUCAAGGAUCUGGUGAAGAGAUAUUCUGAAUUCAUUAACUUCCCUAUCCACCUCUGGGCUAGCAAAGAGGUUGAAACUGAGGUCCCAGUUGAGGAAGAUGAAUCAGCUGAAGAGGAGGAAACUGUUAUCCGGCGAACGUCUUCGCCCGGAAAAAUUACCGAAAAUAGUCUAAAACCAUUUCGUCAAAAACGAGUUCUAACAAUCCCCCACAUGAAUAGAAAUGCUUCUUCUAGACACUAGACGACUCGACAAACUUGACUUCCUAGACAAGACUCGACAAGACUCAACAAGACUCAACUAAGGACUUUUGAGAGUACAAACGAGAAAUUCACUGCAUGAUGAGUUGGUAGCAAUUUUUCAGCCUUGAACCAGUCAUU